This is an RNA transcript of Musa acuminata AAA Group (dessert banana), 2338 nucleotides long. RefSeq lists it as uncharacterized. The record is from RefSeq and is a predicted model, not a curated record. NCBI's taxonomy places the organism in Eukaryota, Viridiplantae, Streptophyta, Magnoliopsida, Zingiberales, Musaceae. The transcript is spliced from 13 exons.
CUUAUCGUUUGUGCACACAUCCACACCCACACCCACGCCCACACACACCGCGUCGGAGAAGAGCUUCUGCUAUGAGCGUCUGCUUCUUCUCCACCACCCCUCACCGGGUCACCUCCACCACCGCGGCCUCAUCUUUUUCCCGACCGCUUCACUGCCAAACCUACCCUUCCUUCCACCACUGUGGCUUCGGCCACCAUUUCCGAUACCACGUUCCUCCCGUAAAGUUCUUAUCGACCCCAUGGAUGAGCCGAGUCCGCCUAAUCGGAGUCCUCAAGGAAUCCAGCGAGGUGGAGACUGAUGAUCGCCAGAGAGCUCCAGCAUCAGAUCAAGAAGAACUGGAAGAAGCCGCCGAUGGGGUCGUUGCCAACGGCGUCGUGGCGGAGACGAGCAAGGAAGGGUCGGAUUUGGUUCGAAAGGUUCCCGUCAGGAGCAAGAGAAAGAUUGAUGAGGAGGAGGACGGGUACGAUAGGUACACCCUGCGUAACGGGAGGGAGGUGUUUCAAGAAAAAGCGUACCUUGUUGGAGUUGAAUGUAAAGGUACUGAAGAUAACACAUUCAGUAUUGAGGAAUCACUUCAAGAACUUGCACAAUUAGCUGAUACUGCUGGACUUUCAGUUGUUGGCUCUACUUAUCAAAAGCUUGCUAAUCCAAAUCCGAGGACAUAUAUUGGCUCUGGCAAGGUUGCUGAAAUCAAGAGUGCAAUUCAUGCCCUUGAUGUUGAAACUGUAAUUUUUGAUGAUGAACUGUCAGCAGGACAGCUACGCAAUUUGGAGAACGCCGUUGGUGGGGAUGUUCGGGUAUGUGAUCGAACUGCUCUCAUUCUUGAUAUCUUCAACCAAAGGGCUGCAACUCAUGAAGCAGCUUUACAGGUUGCUUUAGCGCAAAUGGAGUACCAGCUUCCCAGGUUGACAAAAAUGUGGACUCAUCUUGAACGUCAGGCAGGUGGCAAGGUUAAGGGAAUGGGAGAGAAACAAAUUGAAGUGGACAAGCGUAUCUUGCGUACUCAGAUUAGUGCUUUGAAAAAAGAGUUAGAGUCUGUUCGGCAACAUCGGAAGCAAUAUCGUAAUCGCCGCCUAUCAGUACCUGUUCCUGUUGUGUCCCUGGUUGGUUACACAAAUGCUGGGAAAAGUACACUCUUGAAUCGCCUGACCGGAGCUGAUGUUCUUGCUGAGGAUCAGCUUUUUGCUACACUAGAUCCAACUACCAGAAGGGUCCAGAUGAAAAAUGGAAGUGAGUUCCUCUUGACUGAUACUGUGGGUUUCAUUCAGAAAUUACCUACAAUGCUCGUAGCUGCAUUUAGAGCGACACUAGAAGAAAUAUCUGAGUCGUCUCUUUUAGUGCAUGUUGUGGACAUCAGUCAUCCACUAGCUAAUCAACAGAUAGAUGCUGUUGAUAAAGUACUUACAGAGUUGGAUGUGGCAUCAAUACCAAAGUUAGUUGUGUGGAACAAGAUUGACAAGGCUGAUGAUCCUGAAAGAUUACAAUCUGAAGCAGAGCAAAUAGGAGCUAUAUGCAUAUCAGCAAUUAGUGGUGAUGGGUUGGAGCAAUUCUCCAGUGCAGUUCAAGCAAAGCUUAAGGCCAUUAACUUUGGGAUCAUCUUAACAGGACUCGUUGGUACCAGUUGAAGCUUUAAUUCCCUAUGACAAAGGGGAUCUUCUUAAUUCAAUACAUCAGGUCGGAAUGGUAGAGAGAACUGAAUUCAUGGAGAACGGGACCUUGAUAAGGGCACAUGUUCCUCUUCCACUUGCAAGGUUGCUCACCCCAAUGAGGCAACUUGUGGCUGCUGCACAAUGAUUAUGGUAUAAUGUGAAUUCGUAUCGAUUAUGUUAUAGAUAAAUCUUUCUAUAGCUAGCACAAAGAAAUUAUCACGCUGCAUUCUCAAAGUACAUAGUCUGAACCGUCCUCUAUCAAGAUAGGUGUCAGGAUCCUCUCCUAGUCUGAGGAAAAGCUGGAGAAGUUGGAACCUCCAAUUCUCAAAUCUGGCCUGUCCAUCAGAUCCUCGUGUCUUGGUCCUCACAAAUUUGAUCGAUGCCUAUGAAUAUGAUUGAAGGGCCUAUAUGCAGGAAGAUUCAGGAUCUGAGAGUCGAUGGAUACAGCCAAUGUGAGAAUUGAAGCUUUUCAAUACUGUUAGACAUAAUAGAAUGUCUGAAGUGUUUCUGCAUGGAUUUGAAGCAUAUAUAUAGUUGACAUUAUCAUAAGCCCAUAGAUAAAGUUAGUGUGUCCCUGUGAUGAUAGAAUGUUGGAUGUGAUCUCCAAGUUUUUAUGAUAUAGUUGGGAUUUGGAGUGCAAACAUGUAUCUUAUUAUAUAGACAUCUUUUAUGGUCUCUUGAUUCCUUCA